This 491-nucleotide ribosomal RNA is filed under the name uncultured bacterium. RNAcentral describes it as "partial 16S ribosomal RNA". It matches the Rfam family "Bacterial small subunit ribosomal RNA", at positions 29 to 506 of the family's 1533-position model. The record is from RNAcentral.
AGUGAACGCUGGCGGUAGGCCUAACACAUGCAAGUCGAACGGCAGCACAGUAAGAGCUUGCUCUUACGGGUGGCGAGUGGCGGACGGGUGAGGAAUACAUCGGAAUCUACUUUUUCGUGGGGGAUAACGUAGGGAAACUUACGCUAAUACCGCAUACGACCUACGGGUGAAAGCAGGGGAUCUUCGGACCUUGCGCGAUUGAAUGAGCCGAUGUCGGAUUAGCUAGUUGGCGGGGUAAAGGCCCACCAAGGCGACGAUCCGUAGCUGGUCUGAGAGGAUGAUCAGCCACACUGGAACUGAGACACGGGCCAGACUCCUACGGGAGGCAGCAGUGGGGAAUAUUGGACAAUGGGCGCAAGCCUGAUCCAGCCAUACCGCGUGGGUGAAGAAGGCCUUCGGGUUGUAAAGCCCUUUUGUUGGGAAAGAAAAGCAGCAGGUUAAAACCCCGCUGUUCUGACGGUACCCAAAGAAUAAGCACCGGCUAACUUCGG